Delphinapterus leucas (beluga whale) is the source of this 1378-nucleotide non-coding RNA. The record is from RefSeq and is a predicted model, not a curated record. Lineage: Eukaryota; Metazoa; Chordata; Mammalia; Artiodactyla; Monodontidae.
ACCUGCAAAGCCUGAGGAAUAGCAGCGUCCAACCUCUCCCUCUGACCUCUGCCCCCAUUGCCACGCCUCCUUCUGACCCGCUUGAAAGGACCCACGUGAUUACCCCGGGCUCACUGGAUAAUCCCGGGUAUCUCCCUGCGUCAAGAUCCUUAACUUGGUCACACCUGCGGAGGCUCCUGUGCCCCGUAAGGGAAUGCACUCCCAGGUUCUGCAGGUCAGCACGUGGACAUCCUUGGGGCCAUUAUUCUGCCGACCACACUAACUGUGUAACUUUAAACAGUGUAUUUAACCUCUGUAUCUUAUCCCAUCAAUUUUAGCAAAAGCUCUUGCUACCACCCACGUCAUUUGCUCAACAAAUAUUUGUUCUGGGAGCUGGGCUCACAGCACCGAACAAAACAGGCAAAACCCCUAUUCCGGAGGAGUUUAUGUUCUGGUGGGGAAGACAGAUAAUAAAAUGAGUGAGUGAGUAAAUUAUGUUCCCAGCACAGUUGAUUUUUGGAUGAUGAUUUGGCAAAAGUUAUGUGCCUGCUCUUUGACCCAGCAAGCCCACCACUAAAAGUCGUGUAUGAAGCUGUGUGCAAAGUCUGUUCUGUUUUAUAUCAUUAUUUAUCGCAGCAAACACGUGGGAACAAUCUAAAAGCUUAUUAAUGGUAAAUAAUGUACCAUUAAAUAUAAUUGGCAGAGGCUUCUCUGGGGGACAGGAGACCUCAAGCAUUGCACACCUUCCCGUGUUUGUCUAACUGGGUCGGAGCCAGACUGGCGUGACGUGACUACCUGUACACUGAAGACACCUGCUUCUCUUCCUGUAGCGGUAUUUGGCGCCUGCAUUCAGAUUUUAAAAGCCGCUUGCAGUUAUUGACUCACAGGAUCAGCUCAGCUCCGAGUCGAGGCCUGUUCACAAAACCGACACAGGAACCAGCAGGAAGAGCAACCCCGGGGCCAGGCUUGGGUCUCCGCCCGCGGCUCCUGGGGUCAGAGCGCCUGAGCCAGCCGGGGAAGGACCCAGGGCGGCCGGAAGCCUCCUGGGUCUCAGCAUCCAGACCUCCUUCUACCAGGGGCUCCUCUUGCAAGGCCCCCAGGCCCCUCCCCCUGAGCUGAGUACCAGCCCAGAGUGCUUAUCUGGACGCUCCUCUGCUGGAUGCCCUCCUUGGUGUCUGAGUCUCUCUCUUGUCGGUCGUGCAGCGAGUCUGCUGUUUUAAAUGUGCUGACUUACUGCAUCUUCUCACAGCCCUUCACACAGGCGGAUGUACCUGAGGUUCCACGAGGCUGCGGGCUCACCCAGCCUGGACUCCACUGUCCCCUCUGUGACCCACCCGCCGUUCUCUCCUGCCCCCCUCUCCCCGGUGGGUUAUUGUCUUGGUUCUCCACUUGCCUUAUG